AACGAACGCUGGCGGCAGGCUUAACACAUGCAAGUCGAACGGGUGUAGCAAUACAUCAGUGGCAGACGGGUGAGUAACACGUGGGAACCUUCCUAGGGGUACGGAACAACUCAGGGAAACUUGAGCUAAUACCGUAUACGUCCGUGAGGAGAAAGAUUUAUCGCCCUUAGACGGGCCCGCGUCGGAUUAGCUAGUUGGUGGGGUAACGGCCUACCAAGGCGACGAUCCGUAGCUGAUCUUAGAGGAUGAUCAGCCACACUGGGACUGAGACACGGCCCAGACUCCUACGGGAGGCAGCAGUGGGGAAUCUUGGACAAUGGGCGCAAGCCUGAUCCAGCCAUGCCGCGUGAGUGAAGAAGGUCUUCGGAUUGUAAAGCUCUUUUGCCAGGGACGAUAAUGACGGUACCUGGAGAAUAAGCCCCGGCAAACUUCGUGCCAGCCGCCGCGGUAA
RNAcentral lists this ribosomal RNA (451 nucleotides) under uncultured bacterium. RNAcentral's name for it is "partial 16S ribosomal RNA". It matches the Rfam family "Bacterial small subunit ribosomal RNA", at positions 29 to 523 of the family's 1533-position model. The record is from RNAcentral.